RNAcentral lists this ribosomal RNA (253 nucleotides) under uncultured bacterium. Its description in RNAcentral is "partial 16S ribosomal RNA". It matches the Rfam family "Bacterial small subunit ribosomal RNA", at positions 524 to 776 of the family's 1533-position model. The record is from RNAcentral.
UACAGAGGGUGCAAGCGUUGCUCGGAUUUACUGGGCGUAAAGCGUACGCAGACGGAUCGUCAAGUCAGGAGUGAAAGCCCUGGGCUCAACCCAGGAACGGCUUUUGAUACUAGCGGUCUUGAGUUUGGGAGAGGGAAGCGGAAUUCCUGGUGUAGAGAUGAAAUUCGUAGAUAUCAGGAGGAACACCGGCGGCGAAGGCGGCUUCCUGGCCCAAUACUGACGUUCAGGUACGAAAGCGUGGGUAGCAAACAGG